This 268-nucleotide long non-coding RNA is filed under the name Physcomitrium patens. RNAcentral describes it as "long non-coding RNA (PPAT_LNC011468)". The record is from RNAcentral. Lineage: Eukaryota; Viridiplantae; Streptophyta; Bryopsida; Funariales; Funariaceae.
GGAGCUCUAGCUCACCUCUCUGGUGUUGUUCUUAUAUUCAUCUGAUUAAUCUAGUUCUUGUUAGUUCUUCUUGAACUUCUUGUUAGAUCUCAAGCUUGUAUUUCUGUGUCCGUGACAGUUUGUCGAGACUGAACUCACCUUAGAUAUCAGAGCUAGUUUCUUCCUCGUUAGAGUGUGGAUUAUCCCUUUGCUUGAAGAUGUACUAGCAUUUUAGAGGUUGCGGAUUACCCUCCUCUAAACUGAUACUUCUUUUGUUACAAUAUUGGAG